Molecule: ribosomal RNA, 253 nt
Filed under: uncultured bacterium
Lineage: Bacteria
Description: partial 16S ribosomal RNA
Rfam family: Bacterial small subunit ribosomal RNA
Source: RNAcentral
UACGUAGGGUGCAAGCGUUAAUCGGAAUUACUGGGCGUAAAGCGUGCGCAGGCGGUUUUGUAAGUCUGAUGUGAAAUCCCCGGGCUCAACCUGGGUAUUGCAUUGGAGACUGCAAGGCUAGAAUCUGGCAGAGGGGGGUAGAAUUCCACGUGUAGCAGUGAAAUGCGUAGAGAUGUGGAGGAACACCGAUGGCGAAGGCAGCCCCCUGGGUCAAGAUUGACGCUCAUGCACGAAAGCGUGGGGAGCAAACAGG